CCCUUAGAGUUUGAUCCUGGCUCAGGAUGAACGCUGGCGGCGUGCUUAACACAUGCAAGUCGAGCGAAGCGGUUUCGAUGAAGUUUUCGGAUGGAAUUGAAAUCGACUUAGCGGCGGACGGGUGAGUAACGCGUGGGUAACCUGCCUUACACUGGGGGAUAACAGUUAGAAAUGACUGCUAAUACCGCAUAAGCACACAGGGCCGCAUGGUCUGGUGUGAAAAACUCCGGUGGUGUAAGAUGGACCCGCGUCUGAUUAGGUAGUUGGUGGGGUAACGGCCCACCAAGCCGACGAUCAGUAGCCGACCUGAGAGGGUGACCGGCCACAUUGGGACUGAGACACGGCCCAAACUCCUACGGGAGGCAGCAGUGGGGAAUAUUGGACAAUGGGCGAAAGCCUGAUCCAGCGACGCCGCGUGAGUGAAGAAGUAUUUCGGUAUGUAAAGCUCUAUCAG
This 454-nucleotide ribosomal RNA is filed under the name uncultured bacterium. RNAcentral's name for it is "bacterial SSU rRNA". It matches the Rfam family "Bacterial small subunit ribosomal RNA", at positions 1 to 439 of the family's 1533-position model. The record is from RNAcentral.